UAGAUACCCCACUAUGCGUAGCCUUAAAUCUUGACACUUCCUAGACUAAAGUGUCCGCCUGAGAACUACGAGCACAAACGCUUAAAACUCUAAGGACUUGGCGGUGCCUCAAACCCACCUAGAGGAGCCUGUUCUAUAAUCGAUAACCCACGCUACACCCAACCGCCCCUUGCUUGCUCAGCCUACAUACCGCCGUCGCCAGUCCACCUAUCCUGAAAGGACAAUAGUGAACACAAUAGCCCCAACCGCGCUAAAAAGACAGGUCAAGGUAUAGCCCAUGGAGCGGGAGAAAUGGGCUACAUUUUCUACCAUAGAGAAUUACGAAAGGGGACAUGAAACUCUCCCCAGAAGGCGGAUUUAGCAGUAAAGUUGAACCACAAUGCCACCUUAAAACCGGCCCCGGGGCACGUACAUACCGCCCGUCACCCUCCUCGUAAGCUACCAUCAUAAGUAACUCACACCAAUCUUUAGCCAAAGACGAGGC
RNAcentral lists this ribosomal RNA (484 nucleotides) under Polyerata amabilis. RNAcentral describes it as "partial 12S ribosomal RNA". It matches the Rfam family "Bacterial small subunit ribosomal RNA", at positions 779 to 1455 of the family's 1533-position model. The record is from RNAcentral. Lineage: Eukaryota; Metazoa; Chordata; Aves; Apodiformes; Trochilidae.